GACAGAGGUGCCGAGCGUUAGGCGGAAUCACUGGGCUUAAAGCGUGUGUAGGCGGAGUUCUAAGUACCUUGUGAAAUCCCACGGCUUAACCGUGGAACUGCUUGGUAUACUGGUUCUCUUGGGCCAUCUAGGGGCUAGCGGAACAAACGGUGGAGCGGUGAAAUGCGUAGAUAUCGUGUGGAACGCCAAUGGUGAAAACAGCUAGCUGGGGAUGUGCCGACGCUGAGACACGAAAGCCAGGGGAGCGAACGGG
This 253-nucleotide ribosomal RNA is filed under the name uncultured bacterium. RNAcentral's name for it is "partial 16S ribosomal RNA". It matches the Rfam family "Bacterial small subunit ribosomal RNA", at positions 524 to 776 of the family's 1533-position model. The record is from RNAcentral.